Molecule: ribosomal RNA, 253 nt
Filed under: uncultured bacterium
Lineage: Bacteria
Description: partial 16S ribosomal RNA
Rfam family: Bacterial small subunit ribosomal RNA
Source: RNAcentral
GACGGAGGGUGCUAGCGUUGUUCGGAAUGACUGGGCGUAAAGGGCGCGUAGGCGGCCGCUUGCGUCGGAUGUGAAAGCCCGGGGCUCAACCCCGGAACGGCAUCCGAUACGGGGCGGCUCGAGACCGAGAGAGGUGAGUGGAAUACCCAGUGUAGAGGUGAAAUUCGUAGAUAUUGGGUGGAACACCGGUGGCGAAAGCGGCUCACUGGCUCGGCAUUGACGCUGAGGAGCGAAAGCCAGGGGAGCAAGCGGG